GUUUGAUUCUGGCUCAGGAUGAACGCUGGCGGCAUGCCUAAUACAUGCAAGUCGAACGGAGUGAAGCCUUCGGGUUUCAUUCAGUGGCGAACGGGUGAGUAAUACGCAGGGAACCUGGCCAUGGCAGGGGGAUACACUCUGGAAACGGAGCAUAAGACCCCAUAGGCAGUAAGGCGGCAUCGCCUUACUGUUAAAGAAAGCUGAAAGGCUUUGGCGAUGGAUGGACCUGCGGUGCAUUAGCUUGUUGGUGAGGCAACGGCUUACCAAGGCGAUGAUGCAUAGCCGGCCUGAGAGGGCGGACGGCCACACUGGGACUGAGACACGGCCCAGACUCCUGCGGGAGGCAGCAGUAGGGAAUUUUCGUCAAUGGGCGCAAGCCUGAACGAGCAAUGCCGCGUGAGUGAGGAAGGUCUUCGGACUGUAAAGCUCUGUUGCCGGGGAAAAAGGGGAAAUGCAGGAAAUAGCAUUUCAUGGAUGGUACCCGGCCAGAAAGCCACGGCUAACUACGUGCCAGCAGCCGCGGUAAUACGUAGGUGGCGAGCGUUAUCCGGAAUGAUUGGGCGUAAAGGGUGCGCAGGCGGUCUGUUAAGUCUGAAGGCAAAGGGAUGAGCUCAACUCAUUUAUGAUUCAGAAACUGGCAGACUUGAGGACAGGAGAGGGCGGUGGAACUCCAUGUGUAGCGGUAAAAUGCGCAGAGAUAUGGAAGAACACCAGUGGCGAAGGCGGCCGCCUGGCCUGUGACUGACGCUGAGGCACGAAAGCGUGGGGAGCAAAUAGGAUUAGAUACCCUAGUAGUCCACGCCGUAAACGAUGAGGAGCAGGUGUUGGGAGUGAAAUCUCAGUGCCGAAGCCAACGCAGUGACUCCUCCGCCUGGGGAGUAUGCACGCAAGUGUGAAACUCAAAGGAAUUGACGGGGGCCCGCACAAGCGGUGGAGUAUGUGGUUUAAUUCGAAGCAACGCGAAGAACCUUACCAGGUUUUGACAUCGGAUGCGAAGGCGCAGAGAUGCGCUGGAGGCUAUCAUCCAGACAGGUGGUGCAUGGUUGUCGUCAGCUCGUGUCGUGAGAUGUUCAGUUAAGUCUGGCAACGAGCGCAACCCCCGUGGUAUGUUACUAACGCUUUAGGGCGAGGACUCAUAUCAGACUGCCGGUGACAAACCGGAGGAAGGCGGGGAUGACGUCAAAUCAUCAUGCCCCUUAUGACCUGGGCUACACACGUACUACAAUGGCGUCUACAGAGGGAAGCGACCCUGAGAAGGGAAGCGAAACCGGAAAAGGGCGUCCCAGUUCGGAUUGAAGUCUGCAACCCGACUUCAUGAAGAUGGAAUCGCUAGUAAUCGCGGAUCAGCAUGCCGCGGUGAAUACGUUCCCGGGCCUUGUACACACCGCCCGUCAAACCAUGGAAGCCGGCAACGCCCGAAGCCGGUGGCAUAACCUUUUAGGAGUGAGCCGUCGAAGGCGGGGCCGAUGACUGGGGUUAAGUCGUAACAAGGUACCC
This 1497-nucleotide ribosomal RNA is filed under the name uncultured bacterium. RNAcentral describes it as "16S ribosomal RNA". It matches the Rfam family "Bacterial small subunit ribosomal RNA". The record is from RNAcentral.